UACGUAGGGUGCGAGCGUUAAUCGGAAUUACUGGGCGUAAAGUGUGCGCAGGCGGCAGAGCAAGUCGAGUGUGAAAGCCCCGGGCUUAACUUGGGAAUUGCGAUGGAGACUGCAAGGCUUGAAUCUGGCAGAGGGGGGUAGAAUUCCACGUGUAGCAGUGAAAUGCGUAGAGAUGUGGAGGAACACCGAUGGCGAAGGCAGCCCCCUGGGUCAAGAUUGACGCUCAUGCACGAAAGCGUGGGGAGCAAACAGG
Molecule: ribosomal RNA, 253 nt
Filed under: uncultured bacterium
Lineage: Bacteria
Description: partial 16S ribosomal RNA
Rfam family: Bacterial small subunit ribosomal RNA
Source: RNAcentral